UACAGAGGGGGCAAGCGUUGUUCGGAAUUACUGGGCGUAAAGGGCGCGUAGGCGGCCAACUAAGUCGGACGUGAAAUCCCCAGGCUCAACCUGGGAACUGCGUCCGAUACUGGAUGGCUUGAAUCCGGGAGAGGGAUGUGGAAUUCCAGGUGUAGCGGUGAAAUGCGUAGAUAUCUGGAGGAACACCGGUGGCGAAGGCGGCAUCCUGGACCGGUAUUGACGCUGAGGCGCGAAAGCCAGGGGAGCAAACGGG
RNAcentral lists this ribosomal RNA (253 nucleotides) under uncultured bacterium. Its description in RNAcentral is "partial 16S ribosomal RNA". It matches the Rfam family "Bacterial small subunit ribosomal RNA", at positions 524 to 776 of the family's 1533-position model. The record is from RNAcentral.